GCAAACUUGGUCAUUUAGAGGAAGUAAAAGUCGUAACAAGGUUUCCGUAGGUGAACCUGCGGAAGGAUCAUUAAAGUAUUUUUGGGUUCUUUUUGAGCCUAACUAUCUGACUUUUGUGGUAAUAAUGAAAUAAUGAUUGGGUUUAAAGAUGAUGCUUGUAAAGAAAUUUAGAGGUAUCGACCCAAGCUUUUUAUCAACUCUUAUUAUUUUGACUGAAUGAUCAAGUAAUCCAAUUUUUUUUUUUGGGUUAAAAAAGGUUUAAAUAACUUUCAACAACGGAUCUCUUGGUUCUCGCAUCGAUGAAGAACGCAGC
This 313-nucleotide unclassified non-coding RNA is filed under the name uncultured fungus. Its description in RNAcentral is "partial contains small subunit ribosomal RNA, internal transcribed spacer 1, and 5.8S ribosomal RNA". The stretch from base 1 to 73 matches the Rfam family "Eukaryotic small subunit ribosomal RNA", at positions 1759 to 1831 of the family's 1831-position model. Lineage: Eukaryota; Fungi. The record is from RNAcentral.